RNAcentral lists this ribosomal RNA (254 nucleotides) under uncultured bacterium. RNAcentral's name for it is "partial 16S ribosomal RNA". It matches the Rfam family "Bacterial small subunit ribosomal RNA", at positions 524 to 776 of the family's 1533-position model. The record is from RNAcentral.
UACGAAGGGGGGCUAGCGUUGCUCGGAUUGACUGGGCGUAAAGGGCGCGUAGGCGGUUCGUACAGUCAGACGUGAAAUUCCUGGGCUCAACCUGGGGGCUGCGUUUGAUACGUGCGGACUUGAGUGCGGAAGAGGGUCGUGGAAUUCCCAGUGUAGAGGUGAAAUUCGUAGAUAUUGGGAAGAACACCGGUGGCGAAGGCGGCGACCUGGUCCGAUACUGACGCUGAGGCGCGAAAGCGUGGGGAGCAAACAGG